UAGGGAAUCUUCCGCAAUGGGCGAAAGCCUGACGGAGCAACGCCGCGUGAGUGAUGAAGGUCUUCGGAUCGUAAAACUCUGUUAUUAGGGAAGAACAAAUGUGUAAGUAACUAUGCACGUCUUGACGGUACCUAAUCAGAAAGCCACGGCUAACUACGUGCCAGCAGCCGCGGUAAUACGUAGGUGGCAAGCGUUAUCCGGAAUUAUUGGGCGUCAAGCGCGCGUAGGCGGUUUUUUAAGUCUGAUGUGAUAGCCCACGGCUCAACCGUGGAGGGUCAUUGGAAACUGGAAAACUUGAGUGCAGAAGAGGAAAGUGGAAUUCCAUGGGUAGCGGUGAAAUGCGCAGAGAUAUGGAGGAACACCAGUGGCGAAGGCGACUUUCUGGUCUGUAACUGACGCUGAUGUGCGAAAGCGUGGGGAUCAAACAGG
RNAcentral lists this ribosomal RNA (429 nucleotides) under Actinomycetes bacterium. RNAcentral describes it as "Actinobacteria bacterium partial 16S ribosomal RNA". It matches the Rfam family "Bacterial small subunit ribosomal RNA", at positions 355 to 776 of the family's 1533-position model. The record is from RNAcentral. Lineage: Bacteria; Bacillati; Actinomycetota; Actinomycetes.